RNAcentral lists this transfer RNA (98 nucleotides) under Armatimonadota bacterium. RNAcentral describes it as "tRNA-Sec". It matches the Rfam family "Selenocysteine transfer RNA". The record is from RNAcentral. Lineage: Bacteria; Bacillati; Armatimonadota.
GGGGGCGGAUGGUGACUGGUGUUGUCUGCCGUCUUCAAAACGGUUGUGGGGCGGUGAGAAUCGUCCCGGGUGGGUUCGAUUCCCACACGCUCCCGCCA